AGAGUUUGAUCAUGGCUCAGGAUGAACGCUGGCGGUAUGCCUAACACAUGCAAGCCGAACGAUGUCUUCGGACAUAGUGGCGGACGGGUGAGUAACGCGUGAGAAUCUGCCUCUAGGAUGGGGAUAACGGUUGGAAACGACCGCUAACACCCAAUAUGCCGUAAGGUGAAAAAUUUAUUGCCUGGAGAGGAGCUCGCGUCUGAUUAGCUAGUUGGUGGGGUAAGAGCUCACCAAGGCUUCGAUCAGUAGCUGGUCUGAGAGGAUGAGCAGCCACACUGGGACUGAGACACGGCCCAGACUCCUACGGGAGGCAGCAGUGGGGAAUUUUCCGCAAUGGGCGAAAGCCUGACGGAGCAAUACCGCGUGAGGGAGGAAUGCCUUUGGGUUGUAAACCUCUUUUCUCAGGGAAGAAGAUCUGACGGUACCUGAGGAAUAAGUAUCGGCUAACUCCGUGCCAGCAGCCGCGGUAAUACGGAGGAUGCAAGCGUUAUCCGGAAUCAUUGGGCGUAAAGCGUCCGCAGGUGGUUUCCAAAGUCUGCUGUUAAAGACUGGAGCUCAACUCCGGAACGGCGGUGGAAACUUGGAAACUAGAGUUCGGUAGGGGUAGCAGGAAUUCCCAGUGUAGCGGUGAAAUGCGUAGAUAUUGGGAAGAACAUCGGUGGCGAAGGCGUGCUACUGGACCGUAACUGACACUCAGGGACGAAAGCUAGGGGAGCGAAAGGGAUUAGAUACCCCUGUAGUCCUAGCUGUAAACGAUGGAAACUAGGUGUGGCUUGUAUCGACCCGAGCCGUGCCGUAGCUAACGCGUUAAGUUUCCCGCCUGGGGAGU
RNAcentral lists this ribosomal RNA (829 nucleotides) under uncultured marine microorganism. Its description in RNAcentral is "bacterial SSU rRNA". It matches the Rfam family "Bacterial small subunit ribosomal RNA", at positions 8 to 881 of the family's 1533-position model. The record is from RNAcentral.